Molecule: long non-coding RNA, 5427 nt
Organism: Acanthopagrus latus (yellowfin seabream)
Lineage: Eukaryota; Metazoa; Chordata; Actinopteri; Spariformes; Sparidae
Exons: 4
Source: RefSeq, a predicted model, not a curated record
CACGAGUUCCUUCCACAUGAAGGACGUUUCAGUCAUGAUAAUAUUAUGAAUAAAAGCCCAUAGUUUCACAUGUUUUGGGGGUUAGAUUAAAUAAUAUUUAUAAUAUAUUAUAAAACGAGGUGAACUGGUUCAGUCUUUAGUCUUGGUGGACGGUGUUGGGAGGAGUCACGUGUUAACUGAUAAGAAGAGGACACAGCCAUCAGCUGCCCAGGUCAGGAAACAGAGAAGAGAAGAAGAUAAAGGUCAGAGCCAUGUCAGAUACUCUUCAGAAGUGUGACCAUGCAUGUAAUGAGAUGAAAUGACGGUAAUUAGUAGAAGUUAGGCUAACUGGUAUGUUUGUUAGCCUCUUGCUACACUGCUGGCUACAAUAGUAGAUGACGACAGCUGACCAGCAAACAUUCCAUCUAAUUCCUUUCACCCUAAUAAUGUAACACAACAUGACCAGCUCACAUAGUGUGUGUUAAACAUCAUGUUAGGUCCUGUGCUGCUCAGUAAAGUCACUUAUCACUUCUGGAAGCUAAUUCCUGAUGGAGCUCUCUGACUCAUUUGGAGUGUCAUGUAUAUAAUUAGCCAUUAACCAAGGAGGUUGUGUUUGGUUUUCUAUUCAUUUGGUUCUUAUUCUAAAGUUGGAUACAUGAUGCUUAAUAACAGCUUUAUUUAGUUGUGCUAUUCCUGCACUGAUCAUUUCUGUUGUAUUUUAAAAUGAAUGCAGGGGACUUUUUAAAUAUCUUGGAGCCAGCAGCCAGGAGGAGGAGACAUCUACCUCCUCAGACACACACAGUCUCCACAAACUGUCUGAUCCUGAGGAUGAAGAGCAGUUUACCUCUGCUUCUCCCCAGCAAGACUCAGAAACGCCUGGAGCAGCAUCGUCUCCUGACCAUGAGCUUCUGUCCUCUGACCUGCUGACUGGCCUUCAGUUCUGACUGUGAGAGUUCAGACACAACUGGUUUCCAGUCAGGUACCAUCUGACUUUGUGUUCUCUGGAAACAACAGUGACAGAAGAAGUUGCCACCAUCAAUACGUCAGGAAGUCAUUGGUUACAGGUUGGAUGAAGAAAACCAACAGCAGGACGGCUGAUGUGAUGCUGCCUGUGGACGCACUGUGCCAACACGUUUCCUCUGCUCUCCUUCAGUGUGUGUCAACCUCUGUCAGCUUCCUUCAGUUUGGAAAAGCUCAACAAUAAUUCCAAUUCCCCAACAAAAAAUCCUGAGCAGCUAACUGAGUUUAGGCCUGUCGCUCUCACAUCACUUAUUAUGAAAAUCUUUGAGACAGUGGUGAGAGAUGAGAUCGUGUCUUUAGUGUACGACAGAUUACAGUUUGGAUGAAGUGGUGGAAGAAGCUGAACUCCUGGACAAAAUCUACAAGCACUUGGAGAAACCAGAAUCACAUGUGAGACUUUUAUUUGCUGACUUCUCUUCAGCUUUUAACAAGAUGCAACCACAUAUUUUAAUUCAACCACUGUCCUCUUAUCUUAAUUUACCUGAUCAGUUCUUACUGUUGCUUUUAAUCUUUUUAACUGAGAGGAGGCAGCAGGUUUGAGUUAACGGAGCUUCGUCAGAUGUGGUUUCAAAUCCAGGCUCCCCACAGGGUGAGUUUGAGUUUUAUCUCCCCUUCUUUUUAUUUUGUGUAGCGACAGUUGCAGGUCUCACAAACAGGGCAGCGACCUGGUGAAACUCUCAGACGACGCAGCACCUCUGACUCUCCUCCAGGGUCCGAGUCGGACUUCAUCAGCUGCUGUUUCCUCGAUCUGGAUGUGAACAAAACCAAAGAUCUUGUCAGUGAUUUUAGAAGAAAUGGUGGAAAACAUAAGGCAAGUACAAUUCAUGGGAACGAGGUCGAAGUUGUUGAAACUUACAAGUAUUUAAGCUGUUUUUGAUUCACAGUUGAAGUUUGACAAAAUAUUGAGUCCACUGUCAAACGAGGCCAGCAGAGAAUCCACUUACUAAGAAAGCUGAACUCUUUUAACGUCUGUAACAAACUUCGUGUAAGUUUUAUCAGUCUUUUAUCGAGAGUAUUUGAACUUUUUCCUUCAUCUGCUGGUUUGGGACUUGGGUUCCUUGUGGGAGAAGCAGGUGGUUCACAAAGAUAAAGAAAUCGUUUCCUGUCCUCUGAGUUCAUGUCGAUGCCUUCAGGCUGCUGGUUUAUAGCUGCAGUCAGGAGGACGAAUAUGGUGCUAAUUCUUUCAUCCCACCUGCAGUUAAGCUCUUGAACUUGGUCAGUGGCAGCUUCUCUUUGUAAGACUGUAACUUUGUGUCCUUGUAACUUAAUGUGCCACUUAUUUAUUUAUUUAUCACUCUCUGUUCUUAUUCUUGGUCUCUGUUGUCUCCACACUGAUGUGACAGAGGCCUCAGCCUUGUUCUCCUGGGAGAUGAACUGAUCUGCAUGUUGUGCUCCUGUUUGUCGUCUGCUGCUCGUUGUUGUGUCACGGCUGUUGUUUGUGUGCUGCGAGGCAGCAGCAUUAAUCUGCUGAUCCAGCAGAUUUUACUCGUCUGGAUUCUUUUCACAAAAUACAGUUUUGCUAAAAUCUUCGACUGAAAUCUAACAGAAGAAAAGCUGCAAGCAGCAGACAUGAACCUCAACAAUGUUCUCUGGGUUUGUUACGUGCUGCAUGUUCACGUUUGCAUCAGGAUCUCAGUACACAUGCUGCAGACUGGAUUCCAGAUAAAGACACAGAGUUUGACUCAUCCACACUGAUCACAGGUCAGUUUUUACACAGUCAAAUGAAAACGCUUUGUUAACAUUCAGCACGUCGACUCGUCAUUCAGCCUUUCGUUCCGUUACACAUCUGACAGAAUGACAGAAGUCACGAUGUGCACAUGAGCUUCCUCUCUGCUGUCAGCUGCUGGACCGAGUGACUCUGGAAUGGUUCUGGUAACUCCCUCAGGUGGAUCAUAGUUCUGAAGAACGAGGCUCCAGAUGAAGACAGAGAGGAACACGUCAGUCAGCUGAUCCCUGAUCUGUGCUUCUGUGCUGCAGGCAGAACAGAGAGACUUCCUCGUUUCUCACUUUCUUUUAUUGUGACAGUCUAAAGGGAGAGUGUGAAGUUCCACAUGUUGAGAAGAAAACCCAGCGGAACACGUGAAUCAUCAGCUGAUCCAACAGAAUCCACUCGUCCACUUCAUGGAUCCAUCAAGUUUAACAGAACCACAUGUUGGCAGGUGACACUGUGCACCUUUAACUCCCUGCAGCCACAUUUGGACAUUAGAAUAAAGUGCUCAGUGCUUCAGCUGUCAGCCACACUGACUCAGAGUAUCUGAAGUACGACACCCGCCACAUUAAAGGAACAGUUCACCCAGAAGUCAGAUCCAGUCAGGUGAAGUGUCGGCAGCCCACCAAACGUUUCUGGAUCUCCUCCUGAACAUGUGACCGCAGCGGUUCUGUCCGAGGCCGUGGAAGCCCCGAUAUCCCAAACUGAUGUGACCAGUUGUUGACGUCCUGUUUAAACUGUUAACCUGCUAAAAUCACAUGUGUUCAUGUGGGAGAACGCUGCAGCGAAGCUCUGCUGUCAGCUGCUGCUCACAGCAGACCAUGUUGGUGUAGUGAAGGAAACAAACGUGUGUCUGAUGCUCAUUAAUGUCACUUUGUGACAUGAAGAGUGUUUAUCUCUCUCUCACUGGACAGGCAUCACACUCAGAGGGAGGAGAAGGUUUAAUGUUCAACCUGACGUGUUCAGCUGCAGAGAGGUCGGUUUAUUUAAGGUUUACUUGUUCAGACUCAGUCUGACAGAGUUCAGGCUGCAGUUCCUGCAAAUCUCCACCAGAUGGCAGCAAAGUCCAGAAGGUGAAAUAUGAACUGAACGGAUAGAAAAUCCUGACCAAUCACUGCAGCUCAUAGAAACACAGUCAGACUGUGAAGUAGAGAUGAGGUCAAACCAAACAUGAUGAUUUGAACACUAUGUUAAAGCCGAUCCAUGCAGGAAUAUGUAGAAGUGUCUGAUCAUAUGAUAGAGAUCAAUAAUGGACGACAGGAUUGAUGUUGAACGGACUGUCAUUGUUUUGUGUGUCGUUGUGUGACAAUGAUCCGAUAUUGAUGGUUUCAGUUUGAAGCUUUGCUCUCGUCCUCCUGUUGGCUCAGCAGGAGAAACCAGGGCUGGAAAUUUUGAGGUCGCGGGUUCGAUUCUUGUUUGAAAUUUGAGGGUCGACGUUCAAAAGAGUGAAAUGUGACAGAAACAAAGAGCAUCAGUCAGAUCCAGGAGCUCAGGCUGAUAGAGGUCUGGUCAGCAGGUCUGAGGUUGUGGGUUCAAUCCCCGGGCAGGUGUGGUGAUUUUUAAACCUGAUGUCCAGAACAAAGAGUGAAAUGGUGUCAGAAUCAGAAGUUUAUCUCCAGCUCAUUAGCUCAGGAAGAUAAAGUGAUGCAGUGAAGUCUGCAGGUUGUGGGUUCAAACCCUGCCUGAGUGUUGAAGGCUGGUCUCUGAUCAGCAGCUCAGGUGGACACUCUACAGCUCACAGUUUGAUCUCAGGACACUCACUGACUUUUGAGGUCCAGCACUGAUGAAUGAAAACUUGACAGCGCUCAGAGAAGAGAUGUGUCCAACAAAAGCUCCAGACUCUUUCUGAAGCUGCUGCUCAGAAGAAGGAGUGAAAACCUGUGAGAGACUUUUAAUUCUUUGACUAAAUGAAGAACAUCUGCCAUCAGCAGCUCCAGGCUCCUGGUGGCCCUCGGUCUUCCUCUGUGGGGCUUUAACUGAUUCAACCAAAGUGUCCUGAGGUAGAUGUCCAGGUAGCUCAGUGGGUUGGAGGGAUGUUGUGGAGUUCUGAGAUUCUGAGUUCGAUCCUUGAUUGUUGUUGAGUUUUGAAACGUUCAGAUCAAAGAGUGAAAAGCUCCUGAAUCUUUAUAAACCUGCAGUUACUGAGACUUUCCUCAGAUUAAAACGCUUUGUGUGAAAAUAACCUGCUCUGCUGCAUUUACACUCUAACAACACGCUGCUUGCGUGUCAAUGGUCGUUUUGUCAAUAAAGCUCGCUUGAAUCGAGUCGAGUCCGUUUGCCCAAUCAGAGGUAGAGACGUCACACUUCCGGUCUGUCUCGUAUGGCCCCAGUCAGCCAGCAGCUCUCUGUUUGUCCACCGACAUGCUGACGGUCGGACGCUUCGUGUGAGCAGCAGAUAAAUAAAAUUCCCUCUAUGGCUUCUGGAGCGGGUCCGAGAGCGACGGGCACAGCCGGCAGCCGCUUCCAGCACCGGGAGCGGGUCGCUUCACACGACCAGAUGAGGUCCGUUCUUUUUGCUGUUCCAGUCUCAUCCCUCAGAGGGAAGUGAGACUCUGAGAAACAUCAGAUCCACCUGCAGCCAACACUGUUAGUCACUGUCAGUUUGUCUGCAGAUGCUCAUUUUGGCGACUUUUUAGAAGUGAAGUGUUUGUGCUUAGCUUUAGCAUCCAGUGCUAGUACCUGUCUGAUAUCAUGAAAUAAAGACACCAUGUUUGAUUCAG